Molecule: long non-coding RNA, 878 nt
Organism: Scylla paramamosain (green mud crab)
Lineage: Eukaryota; Metazoa; Arthropoda; Malacostraca; Decapoda; Portunidae
Exons: 3
Source: RefSeq, a predicted model, not a curated record
UGGCAGUGGACGGACGGUUAUUGUGGUGGUGACUGGUGGGUUCAAUAGAAAAUCUGGUGCUGGCGGGCUGAACUGUGGUGAAGUCUGGCGGAUGUGGUGCACGUAGAUAGUCAGGGGAACUUCCCCAUCAGCCUCAUCAGCCCUUCACUUUUAACGGCGUCAUUCGCAUGCGGAAAUAAUAAUUCUUCCAUAUCUGUUACUUUAGUAACGCUCACCAGUCUGCCAUUAUCAUGUAAUAAGUGUAAUGACGGCGAAGAAUGAAAGACAAAUGGAUGAGGUAGCAAUUAUAAUAUUAUUGAGCCUUACACCCAGGUAAAAAUACGAAAAUUAUGGUGCAGUUGUAGUUCCCGUACUCUUUCCUUCUUUCUCUCUGGCUAACUAGCUUGGAGAGUUGGAUGGGAGACGGGGAGGUUUGUUAUAUCUAAAACUUGGGAUGGGUUAUAACUAUGUAAUGUUCUAAACUUUAUUGUUGAGGGAUUAGUGGAUCGAGACAGUUUCAUUGCAUUCGAACAGCUUUUUCCCACCCACGAGAUGCCAAGAAUUCAGGCAACCAAGUAUGAGUGUCCACUGCAAGUUCAUCUAUUGUUUCUGGAGUUUGAGAAAAAGUUGAGGGAGGUGUCGACACUUAGGGUCGUCGGCAGAAGGGCAGUCUGACCUGGGGACAUUUGUGGUCCCCUCCUCAGAUGGGGACUCUGAGGCUGGUGUAGGAGUCGCCAUGAAUUUUGAAAUUUUGAGUGAAGGCAACCCCAGAGAUGGACAGCCUGCAUGGACUAGUGGCAGCAACAGCAGUAGCAUCUACCAGCCACAGGAGCAGGCAACUGAUGGUGGUAUACUCAGCGGCUGAUUUCAUGGCCGGUGCCCCUCCACUGCUCCACUAA